GUGAGCUUGCAAAAAGCACACACUUCUCUCCCAAUUAUUCCAUAAGACAUGAGCAAGGCCUGGGUAGGAAGAUGGUUCUUUAUAAUAAGCCAGAGAUUGAACUGAUACCUUGGCGUAAUAGCCUUGUUCCAAAUAAAGGAAGCCCAAUUGACCCUUUCCUUCCUUCUUCUGAAGAUAUGCCAAGCCGAGGCGACCGAGAAGAGGCCCGAAGGAUUGUCACUCCAAACAAAACUAUCGGGACCAUUGGAAAGGAGAGGAAGGGG
RNAcentral lists this long non-coding RNA (263 nucleotides) under Eucalyptus grandis. Its description in RNAcentral is "long non-coding RNA (EGRA_LNC000840)". Lineage: Eukaryota; Viridiplantae; Streptophyta; Magnoliopsida; Myrtales; Myrtaceae. The record is from RNAcentral.